GACGAACGCUGGCGGCGUGCUUAACACAUGCAAGUCGAGCGGAAAGGCCACUUCGGUGGUACUCGAGCGGCGAACGGGUGAGUAACACGUGAGUAAUCUGCCCCUGGCUUUGGGAUAGCCACCGGAAACGGUGAUUAAUACCGGAUACGACCACUUCUCGCAUGGGAUGGUGGUGGAAAGUUUUUUCGGCCAGGGAUGUGCUCGCGGCCUAUCAGCUUGAUGGUGAGGUAAUGGCUCACCAUGGCUUCGACGGGUAGCCGGCCUGAGAGGGUGACCGGUCACACUGGGACUGAGACACGGCCCAGACUCCGACGGGAGGCAGCAGUGGGGAAUAUUGGACAAUGGGCGGAAGCCUGAUCCAGCAACGCCGCGGGGGGGAUGACGGCCUUCGGGUUGUAAACCUCUUUCAGCAGGGACGAAGCGCAAGUGACGGUACCUGCAGAAGAAGCACCGGCCAACUACGUGCCAGCAGCCGCCGUAA
Molecule: ribosomal RNA, 481 nt
Filed under: uncultured bacterium
Lineage: Bacteria
Description: partial 16S ribosomal RNA
Rfam family: Bacterial small subunit ribosomal RNA
Source: RNAcentral